Molecule: ribosomal RNA, 864 nt
Filed under: human gut metagenome
Description: bacterial SSU rRNA
Rfam family: Bacterial small subunit ribosomal RNA
Source: RNAcentral
GCAGGCUUAACACAUGCAAGUCGAGGGGCAGCAUAAUGGAUAGCAAUAUCUAUGGUGGCGACCGGCGCACGGGUGCGUAACGCGUAUGCAACCUACCUUUAACAGGGGGAUAACACUGAGAAAUUGGUACUAAUACCCCAUAAUAUCAUAGAAGGCAUCUUUUAUGGUUGAAAAUUCCGAUGGUUAGAGAUGGGCAUGCGUUGUAUUAGCUAGUUGGUGGGGUAACGGCUCACCAAGGCGACGAUACAUAGGGGGACUGAGAGGUUAACCCCCCACACUGGUACUGAGACACGGACCAGACUCCUACGGGAGGCAGCAGUGAGGAAUAUUGGUCAAUGGACGCAAGUCUGAACCAGCCAUGCCGCGUGCAGGAUGACGGCUCUAUGAGUUGUAAACUGCUUUUGUACGAGGGUAAACGCAGAUACGUGUAUCUGUCUGAAAGUAUCGUACGAAUAAGGAUCGGCUAACUCCGUGCCAGCAGCCGCGGUAAUACGGAGGAUUCAAGCGUUAUCCGGAUUUAUUGGGUUUAAAGGGUGCGUAGGCGGUUUGAUAAGUUAGAGGUGAAAUUUCGGGGCUCAACCCUGAACGUGCCUCUAAUACUGUUGAGCUAGAGAGUAGUUGCGGUAGGCGGAAUGUAUGGUGUAGCGGUGAAAUGCUUAGAGAUCAUACAGAACACCGAUUGCGAAGGCAGCUUACCAAACUAUAUCUGACGUUGAGGCACGAAAGCGUGGGGAGCAAACAGGAUUAGAUACCCUGGUAGUCCACGCAGUAAACGAUGAUAACUCGUUGUCGGCGAUACACAGUCGGUGACUAAGCGAAAGCGAUAAGUUAUCCACCUGGGGAGUACGUUCGCAAGAAUGAAAC